AAAAAACAUGAACUUCGGACACACACUCAAAAGUAUCAAGCAAGUUUCGAGUAGAUUUACAAUCUAGGCACCAUUUCCUCUUCCAUCCAUCGCCUAGAUUCCCCAAGAAACUCUUAGAUGACCGCCCUUCAAUAUGACCAAAAUUAGGGCAUUAUAUUUUUAUGUAUUCCUCUUCUCCACACAGAGUCUCUCUUGCUUUACAUUUUGAUUCUGUGAAUUUUUAAUUCCUCAAUUUUAGGUUAAAAUUCAUGGGCAAAGGCCUUGAUAUUUACUUCGAUAUUGCCAAAAGUGCUUGACGUUGCGUUCUAAAUUUCAAUUACAGUUGAUUUACUUCUAUUUUUUUUCCCUGCGAUUUUUCCCUUUUUUGGUUUAUAGUGAAAUUGUUUUUCGAUUCGUUUUUUUUGUUCGGAACAGACCUGUUGUACAAGGAGUACCAGAGCGACCAGAAGUUCACCAUUACCAACUACUCUCCUACUGGAGUGUGAGUAUCUUAUUUUUAUUGACAUAAUAAUGUUUUUACAGAUAUUAGCGUUUUUUUUUAUUAAAUUUUAUUUUAUUUUAUUUUUAUUGCUUGAGUUAGGAUUACAGUUUUAAUCUGUAAAUGGUUCCGGCAUAGGAUUCGUACUGUUGUUUCAUGUCUUCGAUUGUUAUAAUUGAAUCUUUAUUUACUUGGCCAGAUUGAGAUUCCAUCUCCGUUUAGUUGUUUUCUUCUCAUUUUUCUUCGAGUUGUGUGUUUAUUAAUUGUUAUGGUUAGGUGAUUUUUGGGUGAACUGAGAAUAUAGUUAAUUGAACAUAUGAAUUUGAUUGAAAUUUUUUAACUUUUUGAAUGCCUUUGCAUAAAUAAUCAUGCGAAAGGGAGUUGAGCUUUGACCUAUGGGUAGACUAUGCAAAAGGUUUUCCAUCUCUCUUGAACUUCAUUGUGAAUGGGGGUAAAAACAAAGAAUUGCUUGGCUAUGUUAUAGUUGUGUUUCUAUUCAUUAAUUAAUUGUAAAGCUAUGUAUGGCAGUGCGUGUUGUGGUGCUUGGACUUCAUAAAUAAGUUUUUCUUUUGUACUUCAAGGUAAGUUUCUCUGUGAAUACUUGUCUGCUUGAUGGUUUCCAUUGACCCUUUGCUCCUUUUAUUCCUCCAAAUUGUUCUUUUUGUUUGAAGCUUCAUAAUCUAGUAGGUUGAAAAUUUUGUACUUUCCAACUGAAAAUUUAUUUGAUGGUAAUAUUUGUAUUAUCUCUGCCAUUUUUACUUAACUGAUCUGCAUUUGUAAUUUUUCAAUCUAUACUUGCUUUAGUUUGUAAUUAGUCUUUUUUCUAUCCUUGCAAGUGCCUGGUGUUCUGGAUGUACUGCCAUUAUUCAUGAAACGUUCAUUCAUUUGAUGAUACUAUGACAAACUAAAUUUAUAAAUAUUAUUCUCCCUCAUCGUAUUAUGGGUUUGAAUGAUCAAGCUUACAUGUUGGUUGAUAGUUAGACCUUACAUUCUACUCCCAGUUGUUUCACAUCUAGGUUUAUAAUCAAAGAUUUUUUGCGUAAACUAUAUUGGUUUCUUUUACUCAGGCUAUGAUAAUUAACAAACUGCUUUCACUUCCUCUUAAAUGAAUGGGGGACUGGUGCUCUAUCUUGUUUUAGGAAGCAAAAAGGCUGAUUAGAGUUGGGGGACUGGAGGAUCAUCUCGAUCAGUUCCGCAAGGAUGGAUCCCAAUUAUUGCAGGUUCAGGACUUGUAAUUCUUUUCCUUUCCAUUGAAAAUUUCAACUGAAUAAGAACAUUUUAGAAAUAAAUAAUUUUUGUGUAUGGAGCAAAACAUCAGGCAUAAAUGCAAUAGUGAUUAGAUGAAAAUACAUCCAUACAGAGACUUAUUUUAUUUAGCUUGGGACUCAGUUAACUUACUUCCUAUAAAAACUUAUUUGGUUUGCCUUAGGAGGCAGUUAACUUAGCCUGGAAUUUGUUGUAUUUAUAUUACUAUUUUAAUUGCUGUUAGAGGCUUGUACUAGGUAAGGCACCAGGCAGGGUGAAUCUAGCAUGAACGUUCAGUUAGGGCGGAGGUUGACUAUGAACGUCGAUCGUCGACAAUCAACGAUCUUAAAAGCCCAGUUCAGCUGGCGGCCGGUCGUUUAUUAAAAUUUGAUUAAAUAAUAUUAAAAAUUAUUCAAACCAAAAUUGAUUGUCAUAACCAACACCAAAAUCAAUUAAUCAAACCAACAUUGUUUGUCAUAAAAAACUGAAAAGAUAAAUAUAGAAAAGAAAAAAAAAAAAUUCAUUGCUCUUCUCUUGAUCAGCUAUAUCUUAUAAUUUUAUGAAAUUCCCAUUUCUCGAGUGUACAAAAAUUUCACUUCCAGCUCGUUUAAAUCAUAAGUGCACAACAUGUAGCUAAUUAGUACCCAAAACAAAUGGCUAGGGCCUUGUUGGCAAUCAUCAAAUAAUUCCCAAUUAAUCAAAUCUAAACCAAUUGAGUCUCUACAUUUGCAUAAUCACAUAAUAAAUUUUCCAAUCAACCAGAUCAUUCAAAGUAAAGAGCACUCAAUGAAUCUACCAACAACUAACCCAAAACUGGAAAAUUAAACUACUUCAUGAAACAAUUUGAUUUCCAAUUUUUUAAACCUCAUUCAACAAAGAAUCUAUUAUUUAAAAAAAAUAAAAAUAAAAUAAUAAUAAUAAUAAUAAAAAAUAAAAAUACAAUCAAUAUAAAGCAUGAAAAUGAUUAAUGUAGAAGAAUUAAAAAAACCUUACCUGAUUGGCUGAUUAAGUAAAUUACAAUUUACAAUAUAAACUUCUAGAUUUCUUGUAAAAUUUACAAUAUAAACUUCUAGAUUUCUUGUACAAGGUCUUUGACAACGUUUUUUAAAUCUUAUUAAAUGCUUUUUUGUUGUAAUAGUCAAUGACUAUUACAGCAAACAAUUAUAUCAUCAUUUAAAAUACACCGUUCUUUAAGUAAGCCUUGAAGCUACAAAACUUCUUUAAUUGUUUCAGUGGUGGCAAUUUAUUCGGAUUCAAUAGUGGAUAGUACAACUAUGUGUUGAAGUUGAGACUUUAAACUAAUUAAAUAAUUACACAGUAAAUAUAUAAGAGGACAUAAGACUUCCUAUCACUAUCCAUCACAUUGUCCGUAUCUACAAAACCCUUCGACUUCACACUCUCAGUUCUAGAUUUAAGCAUUAGAUCUACAUCGUCGAUGCUCUCAGAUAUCUAAGUAGCCACUUCAUUGCGUCCCUCCCAAUGAUUAGGACAUGAAUUAGACAUAAACAUGCUAAGUGUACUUACCACUAAAGGUUAGGCCAGGCAGAAGAACUCUAAUAUUUGAAACCAUAGAUAAGUAAUUGUGCUGGAUAAGUAUAUGCGUUAUUUUGACCAAUGACUAUGGUCAUCCCAUGGUAGCUACUUGAAUUGAAGGCUUGAUGCAUUCUGUAACUUCAGUAAUUGCUGUGGAUAAUAUUUCAAACUUUGUUGAACAGGCAAAAAAGUUGUUAGCAAUAUUCUAUAACUUUUUGGCUUUUAUUAAUUUGUAAGAGAAGAUAUACUCUUGUAUUCUAAUGUGAUUUCUAGGGAAAUAUAGCACUUCCUAAUAAGUAGCUCGUGUUUUUAUUAAUUUUUGGGUCAGUUCUGAUGACUGAAACAAUUCAAAUCUCUAUUAGAACUUUGUGUCACUCACAUGUCAACUUGAGAGCUGAUAAUGUAUUCUCUUUUCCCUUUGUGAAAAAAUUUAUCAUUGUUUAUUCAGUUUAUUUACAUGUGCGUGGGGUGCUUAGUUAUCUAGUCUCUACGAACGUUCUUUUAAUUAGUAGUGUUUGAAUAAGUCUUGAAUAAGUAACUGGCUGAACUAGUGAUUUAGGAUAAGAUAUUUCCUCUAGAUUUAAUGAUUAAUUAUGUUGUACAAAUGGCUAUAUAAAGGCCCCUUCGGUUGAAUGAAAAAUGCACCAACUCUUCUCCAUUUACUCUCCUAUUCUUCAAUUUUUUUUUAUUGCACCAGCAUAUUAUUUUCUAUCAAGCAAACAGUGGUAUCAGAGCCAUUUCUAGGCAAAAAUCCGUCCACCCUUUCCAAGAAUUUGUAGUGCAAAAAAAUCAAUCCGUUUUACAUUGAUAUGCUCAUUAUUGUAGCAACAAAUUCUGUCUCAUUCACAUUUUUACUUUCUGCCAGAUAUAUAAUUCUUCUAAAAACAAAUUUUGUAUCUGAUUUGCAACCAGUUUAUCAAUUAAUUCUCGGAACCUUGUAUUGCACUAGAAAGUAUAUAUGGUAUCUGAAAAUUUUGUGCAGCCAGCCGUUCCCCGUUUUGAUGGUAACUAACUAACUAUGACCAUUGGAGCAUGCUAAUAGAGAACUUCUUGAUGUUUAAAAAGUACUGGCAUGUUAUUGAAUCUGUUGUAGUAGUACCUACUGUUGGAUUGGUAAUAACAGAAUCACAACAAAUAGAGUUGGAAAGAUUUGAUGGCAAAAAAUUAUUUGUUCUAGGCCAUUGAUUGAUCUAUCUUGGAGACUGUUCUUAGUUAAAAAAAACUCCUAAGGAUAUUUGGGAUUCAAUGAAGAAAAAAUGUCAAGGCUUUUCCAGAUUGAAGUGUGCACAGCUUCAAGCCUUAAGAAGGGAUUUUGAAACUCAAAAAAUGACGAAUGGUGAAUCUGUUACCAUGUAUCAUGCGAAGACCAUGGCGAUAUCUGAUAAAAUGAGAUUCCAUUGUAAGAAGAUGGAAGAUGUUGCCACCCUUGGCACCAAAGUUCAACUAUGUUGUCUGUUCAAUUGAAGAACCCAAAGACAUAGAUGCAAUGUCCUUUGAUGAGCUCCAGAGUUCCUUAUUGGUCCAUGAGCAAAUGGUGAACAGAAGUUCAACGACAGACGAGCAAGCUUUAAGGGCAUCCACCUUUACUUAAUUCUCAAAUAUUAGAGGAAGGGGAAGAGGUAGAGUAGAAGAGGUCGAGGUAAUAGAGAUGGCAGCAGGCAAUAUCAAAAUUUUAAAGUUUAUGAUCAAUUUCAAGGCAAGGGUAGAGGACAAGGUUAGCACUUUGACAAACUCUAGGUGCCAUAAUUUUGGUCAUCAUCGUUCUGAAUGUUAUCGCAAGCUGCCCAAUGAUAAAGAAAAAGGAGUGAAAUCGAAUUUUGUAGAAAAUAAGGAAGUAGAAACUUUGUUGAUGGCAAUCUAAGUCAGUGAGAAACCUCAGUCAGAUGUAUGGUAUGUGGAUACAUGCCACAUCAAUCACGUGUAGAAUUAAGUAUUCUUUUCCUUAUUUAAAUGAAGGCUUUGGUUCUACAGUAAGUUUUAGUGAUUGUUCUACUGUGAAUGUAAUGGGAAAGGGCAAUAUUAAUAUAAGAACCAAGAAUGGUAUUUUAGAAAUAAUUUUCAAUGUUUUUUACAUUCCUGACAUGAAAAGCAAUGUGUUAAAGUGCUGGACAAAUGCACAUGCCCCCCGAAAAAAAAAAAAAAAAAACGAACACAAAGGUUAUGUAAUUACUAUCAGGAAUGGUGCGUGUGAGAUAUAUGAUCCUUCUAGGUGAGCUAUUGCUAUUGGUCAAAUGAGUUCAAACAGGUGGUUUUUGCUAAUAUCAAAAGUGCCCAACCUUCCUUGAUGGCGGAAGUGAAAGACUCUUCAUGGCUUUGGUAUUUACCUUCAUAAAGUUGAUCAUUAUGAGUGUUAUGACGAAUUUGAUUGGGAGGUUCAAUGGCAAAAAGAAGGGGAUUCAUAGAAUGAGUUGAGGGCGUAGGCAUUAUUGGAGGAGAAGAAGCACUAAAUUGGUGUUUAUCUUUACUUGAGCAUCAAAAUCUGGGUCAAUAUUGACAAAAACAUCUCUGAACAAGGUUCUAGCUAUUGCCACUUGAAUUUUGGUAGAAUAAAGAUCCUCCAACAAAAGAAUAUGGCAAAGGCCUUCCUCAAAUUAACAAUCCUUCUAAAGUUUGUGAAGAAUGUGUUAUUGGCAAACAACAUCGUUCACAAUUUGUAUAAGAAAAGUCAUGGAGAGAAAAAUGUCAUGGAGCUGGUUAAUUUCGACAUUUGUGGGCUGAUAAAACCAUCUUCUAUUAGGGGUAAGAGAUGCUUGAUUAUCGUCAUUGAUGAUCAUAGUCGAAAAACUAUGGUUCAAUUUUUACAGGAAAAAUUAUAAGCUUUUAGUGCAUUUAAAAGCUUCAAGGCGUGGGAAUAGGAAAAACAAUUGAAACUCUUCGUACUAAUUGUGGUGGAGAAUACUGCUCAAAAGAGUGGAAAGUUCUUGCGAUCUUGUCAUACGAAGAGAACUUGUGGUAGCUUAUAUAUUGCAACAAAAUGCUGUAUUAGUGAGGAAAGUAGAACGAUUCUCAACAUGGUGAGAAGCUUGCUAGCAAGAGGGAGAGUUCUAAAGAAUUUUUUGCCAAAAGCAGUAAAUUGGAGCAUCGAUGUCUUGAAUAUCAGUUCUACUUUUGCAGUUCAAAACAUGACACUAGAAGAGGCUUAAUGUAGGUGAAAACCAGCUGGCAGCUGUAGAUCACUUUAGAUUUUUCGAUCACAUCGUAUAUGUAGAUAUCCCAGAUGAGACAAGGAAGAAACUUGAUGAUAAGGGUGAAAGUGUCUUUCUCGACAUAAGCGAAACGUCUAAAGCAUAUAAAUUGUUCAAUCUAAUGACAAAGAAGAUUGUGAUUAGUAGAGAUGUCAUUUUUUAUUAGGAGAGCACGUGGAAUUGAAUGGACAACAGCUUACUCAGUGCAUUUUUGACAGCGAAAUUGAAGAACAAAUACAGCAACUUCUACAUCAACAAAUUCUAGUAGCACCUAUACCUGAAAAUCCACCAAAUGUAGCUCCAACAAGUGCUAAAAACUUUACCAAUGGCAGCAGAAGCUACUAACGCAACAAUUGAAUCCCAUCUUCACCAUAUUUGAAAGAGGCCUACAAGGAUGACAGACUACGAGGUUACUGAAAUUGACCAAACUGAAGAUCCAAUCAUCUACUUUGCUUUAUUUUCAAAUUGUAACCCUACAACUUUCGAAAGUGCUAUCAAAGAAUCAAAAUGGCAAAAAGCAAUGGAUGAUAAAAUUGCAGCCAUUGAAAGAAAUGAUACUUGGGAGUUAUCAAAUCUUUCAAAAGGGUACAAAACUAUUGGCUUGAAAUGGAUUUUCAAAACAAAACUAGAAUGGUAAAGUUCACAUGUACAAGGCGCGAUUGGUGGCUAAGGGAUACAAGCAAUAGUAUGGGGUUGACUAUAAAGAAUGUUGCAAGACAUGAUAUAAUUAGAUUAGUGGUCGCAUUGGUAGCAUAAUAUUCAUGGCCUAUCUUCUAGUUGGAAGUCAAAUCGGCAUUCUUGCAUGGAAACUUUGAAGAAUAGGUAUUUGUCUAUCAACCUCCGGGUUAUAUUAAACUUGGAAAUGAGCAUAAGGUGUAUAGAUUCAAGAGAGCUCUUUAUGGAUUGAAACAAGACCCAUAGCCUUGGUAUAGUCGCAUUGAGGCUUAAUUUUUAAAAGGAAGGUUUUCAAAAAUGUUCAUAUGAGCGCACAAUUUUAUUUUAUUUUUUUAAAUGUUAGAGAUGGAAGGAAAAUACUCAUUGCCUGCUUAUCUAUAGAUGAUUUUAUAUUUACUGGAAAUGAUAGUAUCAUGUUCGAAGAAUUCAAGAAGUCUGUGAUGGUUGAAUCUGAAAUGUUUGAUUUUGGUUUGAUGCAUUAUUUCCUUGGCAUAGAAGUAGUACAGACAGCUAGUGGAAUCUUUUUUGUCAAAAGAAGUAUGUGCAAAAAAUUUUGGACAGGUUUUGGAUGAAAGAUUGCAACACUGAAAGCAUCCGAUCGAGUUUGGCUUGAAGUUAAACAAAGGUCAUGGAAGAAAAAGGGGGACAACACACUCUACAAGCAAAUUGUGGAGAGUUUGAUGUAUUUAACUGUAACUUGUAGAGAGUUUGAUGUAUUUAACUGCAACGAGGCCUGACAUAAUGUAUUCUGUAACUCUAAUCAGCAGAUAUAUGGAGAAUCCACAAUGAUGCAUCUGUUAGCAGCCAAGAGAAUCUUUCAUUACUUGCAGGGAAAUAAAGAUUUUAGGCUAUUCUACAAGAAGGGUGAAAAAUCAAAACUAUUCGGGUUUACUGAUAGUGGUUAUACAUGAGAUCAAAAUGAUAUGAGGAGGUUAUGUUUUUAUGUUGGGAAUAGGGGCUAUUUCAUGGUCAUCCAAGAAGUAACCAAUUGUCACUUUGUCAACUACUGAAACUGAAUUUGUUGCUGCAACAGCUCGUGCUUGUUAAGCUAUUUGGCUGUGGAAAAUUCUUGAAGAGUUACAUUUCAAGCAAGUAGGAUUUACUACAAUUUUUUGUGACAAUAGCUCAAAUGUCAAACUUUUCAAAAUCCUAUAUUGCAUGAAAGAAACCAGCAUAUUGAUGUGAAGUAUUAGUUUUUAAGAGAUCUCAGCAAUGAUGGAACAAUUAAUCUGAAGCACUACAGAAGUGAAGAUCAGUUGGCUGAUGUAUUUACUAAUCUUCUCAAAUCUCUUAAAAAAUAAUACUUUACAAAAUUUGAGAAGGUUACUAGGCAUUUGCACUUUUGAGAGUUCAGCUUGAAGUAAUUGUACAAAUAAAUUGGAUCUUAAAAGUCUUAGGUUUAAGGAAGGGAUUGUAAAAAAAAAUUUAUCAUUGUUUAUUUAGUUUAUUUACAUGCACGUGGGGGUGCUUAGUUACCUAGUCUCUACGAAUGUUUUUUUACUUGGUAAUGUUUGAAUAAGUCAUUUAACAAUAGCUGAAAAGUAACCGGCUAAACUAGUCAUUUGGGAUAAUAUAUUUUCUCCAGAUUUAAUGCUUAAUUCUAUUGGACAAAUGGCCGUAUAAAGGCCCCUUAGGUUGAAUGAAAAAUUCACCAACUCUUCUCCAUUUACUGUUUACUUUCUUUAUUGCACCAGCAGAUUAUUUUCUUUCAGGCAAACACCCUUUACUUUUCCUUUGACAGUGGUAGGUGAUGACUUCAUAAUUGCUAUAUACGGAAAUUUUUUGAUGUACAACAUCAAGCUCUUUAAGUAUCUCAAAUGACUUUCAAAUAUAGCAUUUUCCUUUUCUGUUCUACAUUUAUCCCUUCUCAUCAAAAACAUCUUCUGAACCCUAUGUACAUCUAUUGCGAGUGAAGAAAGACUCAUCAAUUAACUAAUGCAUUACAAUCAUAAACCAAAGAACACCUUUGGUCCCUGUAAAACUAGCUAUCCAUCUUAGUGGACAACACCUAUGGAUUUAUUGUGAAAAUGGCUACAAUAGUUCGUCUUUGGUGUGGUUCCGUCUUAUGUAAGAUUGCAAAAUCUCAAGGUUGCAUCUGAAACUACGAAACAGCACCUAAACCAGGUUGCAACAGGAACGAGUGUUAUUGCACUCAGGAAAAUCCUUCCAUUGGUAUUCAGUUGCAUUCCUACAUGUUUUAUGGUGGUGGUCAGCUGGUAGAGGAUUUUAUUUUAAUCCAAUUCACUGAUGGAUCAAAACCAGGUUCCUUUUAUGCUGUGAAGCGUUUGCUAAUCAGUUGCAUUCCUACAUAUUUUACAGAUGGUCUUGCUCGUGGAGUUAAGGGCCCGACCAGAGGCUGGGCAAUGGUCUGCGCUUCUUACUUUGUUGUUAUGGGCUUUUAGCAUUCAAAGAGAGUUCACUAUCUGCUUGAGCCCCUCAACAAGAUCUAACAACGUCAAAAUUUUGGUUCUGAACCAUAUUUUAAGCUUGCUGGAAUAGACAUCCAAAUUUCUCAUGUACACCCCGCUAAUAAUUAUCCAUGAUCCUUGUACUUAAGUGUGCCAUCUUCUGAGUACUACAUUGGAGUCAAAACCAUUAAAAUCAAUGGUAAAUCUGUGCCUCUUAAAGCCACAUUUCUAUCAAUUGACGAGGCAGUGAUAGCGGAACUAAAGUGAGUACUUUGGCCCUUACACGAUCAUAGAGUCUUCCAUUUAUAAAGCUGUAACUAAUGUUUUUAUCAAAGAGCUUUCAAAUGUCACUAGAGUGGCACUGGUUGCACCCUUUGGAGCAUGCUUUAAUGCUAAAACUAUUGGCACAUUGCAUUUUGGCCUAUGGUUCCUCCUAUAGAUCUAGUUUUGCACAAAACAAAUGUGUAUUGUAGGAUUUUUGGUGCAAACUCAAUGGCUCCUGUCAGAAAAGAUGUACUGUGUUUGGGAUUUGAAGAUGGAGGGCUUAGUCUUAUUUUCAUUGUAAUUGGUGGGCAUCAAAUCGAAGAAAAUUUUCUACAGUUUAAUCUUUGCCAAAUCAAGGAUGGGGUUGACUCUUCUCUCUUGUUCUGCAAAACAUCAUGUGGGACUUCAACUUGACAUCUCAUGCUUAGAGCUCCAUUUGACAUCAAUUUUCACAUUUAACGAAGUCGUGAUUUUCACACUCAUAAAAUAAUUACUGACAAUGCUCAUAAAUAGGGCUAUGACUAUGCUGGAAUCUUGCAUGUACUCAAUUCAUUAAGAAAUAAAAUAGGAAACACACGAGCAUGUAUCUUUUCAAUACUAAUUUGACUAUCGUUUCUCCUUGUAUUCUCCAAUUUGCAAGAAUACAAGGAUUUGUUGCAAUUAUUUGAUGAUUUUGUUUCCUAACUUGAGGUGAUGCUUAUAAACUUCAAGCGGGACACGUAUGUGAAUGAC
Molecule: long non-coding RNA, 10520 nt
Filed under: Olea europaea subsp. europaea
Lineage: Eukaryota; Viridiplantae; Streptophyta; Magnoliopsida; Lamiales; Oleaceae
Source: RNAcentral